UACGUAGGGGGCAAGCGUUGUCCGGAAUCAUUGGGCGUAAAGAGCGCGUAGGCGGCCCGAUAAGUCCGCUGUGAAAGUCAAGGGCUUAACCCUUGAAUGCCGGUGGAAACUGUCGGGCUAGAGUCCGGAAGAGGCGAGUGGAAUUCCUGGUGUAGCGGUGAAAUGCGCAGAUAUCCGGAGGAACACCGGUGGCGAAGGCGGCUUCCUGGACCGACACUGACGCUGAGACGCGAAAGCGUGGGGAGCGAACAGG
Molecule: ribosomal RNA, 253 nt
Filed under: uncultured bacterium
Lineage: Bacteria
Description: partial 16S ribosomal RNA
Rfam family: Bacterial small subunit ribosomal RNA
Source: RNAcentral